GAGCUUCAGCAGCACAUGUACUAAAACUGGAGCAAUACAGAGCAGGUUAGCCUGGCCCCUGCACAAGGAAGCACACAAAUUUGAGCAGUGUUUCUUUUUAGA
Small nuclear RNA from Ictidomys tridecemlineatus (thirteen-lined ground squirrel), 102 nucleotides. The record is from Ensembl. Lineage: Eukaryota; Metazoa; Chordata; Mammalia; Rodentia; Sciuridae.